Molecule: long non-coding RNA, 692 nt
Organism: Ceratina calcarata
Lineage: Eukaryota; Metazoa; Arthropoda; Insecta; Hymenoptera; Apidae
Exons: 3
Source: RefSeq, a predicted model, not a curated record
UGUCAUAUCGUAAGGUUGCACAUCUGUCAACAACAUAACAUCGAAAUAUUAGCGAUUGUGUAUCAGCGUCGUAUAUUUUUUUCGUGCGAAAAUGUCGAAUUUUGAGCUGAAUAAACAUCAUUUGCGGAAGUUCUGAUUUACUUCUUUAAUUUGAAGAAAUCUGGAGCUGAGACGCAUCGAUUGCUUGUAGAAGCAUAUGACAAAGAACGUAGUGGAAGGCCGAAAGUGUAUGAAGACGCGGAAUUGGAAGCAUUAUUGAAUGAAAACCAAUGAUGAAAACGAAUGAAAUCAUUACUGGGCCUCUCUACCAAGCUCAAUUGCUGAGACUGAGACGAGCAUUCAAGGAAAAACGCGCCCAUUAUUACUCCAGAUAGGACAAAAUCAUUCUUUUGCAUGAUAAUGCUCGUCCUCAUAUUGCGGCGCCGGCCAAAACCUCCUUGAAAACACUUAAUUGCACUUCACAUCAUAUGAAGAUAUAAAAAAUUGGGUCGAUUCAUGGUUAGCGUCAAAAGAUGAAGCGUUCUUCCGACGCGGUAUUCGGAUGCUGCCAGAAAGAUGGGAAAAAGUAGUGGCCAGUAAUGGACAUUACUUUGAAUAAAACAUAAGAUACCGUUCUUUCGCAAUAAAUGCUUAAUUUAAGAUGAAAAACAGCGGAAACCUACUUGUACUUCUAAUAUACAUAUACAUCCUAA